This 3019-nucleotide ribosomal RNA is filed under the name Salmonella enterica subsp. enterica serovar Weltevreden. RNAcentral's name for it is "bacterial LSU rRNA". It matches the Rfam family "Bacterial large subunit ribosomal RNA". The record is from RNAcentral. Lineage: Bacteria; Pseudomonadati; Pseudomonadota; Gammaproteobacteria; Enterobacterales; Enterobacteriaceae.
UUAAGCGACUAAGCGUACACGGUGGAUGCCCUGGCAGUCAGAGGCGAUGAAGGGCGUGCUAAUCUGCGAUAAGCGCCGGUAAGGUGAUAUGAACCGUUAUAACCGGCGAUACCCGAAUGGGGAAACCCAGUGUGACUCGUCACACUAUCAUUAACUGAAUCCAUAGGUUAAUGAGGCGAACCGGGGGAACUGAAACAUCUAAGUACCCCGAGGAAAAGAAAUCAACCGAGAUUCCCCCAGUAGCGGCGAGCGAACGGGGAGGAGCCCAGAGCCUGAAUCAGCAUGUGUGUUAGUGGAAGCGUCUGGAAAGGCGCGCGAUACAGGGUGACAGCCCCGUACACAAAAGCGCAUGUGCUGUGAGCUCGAUGAGUAGGGCGGGACACGUGGUAUCCUGUCUGAAUAUGGGGGGACCAUCCUCCAAGGCUAAAUACUCCUGACUGACCGAUAGUGAACCAGUACCGUGAGGGAAAGGCGAAAAGAACCCCGGCGAGGGGAGUGAAAAAGAACCUGAAACCGUGUACGUACAAGCAGUGGGAGCCCCACCACCAAAGCGUUUCGCUUUGUGUGGUGCACAAAGAAGCGUAACGACAGCACUGAAUGACGGUUAACGGAGCGCAAGCGACGUUCAACAUACAAAGUCAAGCAGUGGAGCGCUUUGGGGUGGGGUGACUGCGUACCUUUUGUAUAAUGGGUCAGCGACUUAUAUUCUGUAGCAAGGUUAACCGAAUAGGGGAGCCGGAGGGAAACCGAGUCUUAAUUGGGCGUUAAGUUGCAGGGUAUAGACCCGAAACCCGGUGAUCUAGCCAUGGGCAGGUUGAAGGUUGGGUAACACUAACUGGAGGACCGAACCGACUAAUGUUGAAAAAUUAGCGGAUGACCUGUGGCUGGGGGUGAAAGGCCAAUCAAACCGGGAGAUAGCUGGUUCUCCCCGAAAGCUAUUUAGGUAGCGCCUCGUGAAUUCAUCUCCGGGGGUAGAGCACUGUUUCGGCUAGGGGGCCAUCCCGGCUUACCAACCCGAUGCAAACUGCGAAUACCGGAGAAUGUUAUCACGGGAGACACACGGCGGGUGCUAACGUCCGUCGUGAAGAGGGAAACAACCCAGACCGCCAGCUAAGGUCCCAAAGUCAUGGUUAAGUGGGAAACGAUGUGGGAAGGCCCAGACAGCCAGGAUGUUGGCUUAGAAGCAGCCAUCAUUUAAAGAAAGCGUAAUAGCUCACUGGUCGAGUCGGCCUGCGCGGAAGAUGUAACGGGGCUAAACCAUGCACCGAAGCUGCGGCAGCGACGCUUAUGCGUUGUUGGGUAGGGGAGCGUUCUGUAAGCCUGUGAAGGUGGCCUGUGAGGGUUGCUGGAGGUAUCAGAAGUGCGAAUGCUGACAUAAGUAACGAUAAAGCGGGUGAAAAGCCCGCUCGCCGGAAGACCAAGGGUUCCUGUCCAACGUUAAUCGGGGCAGGGUGAGUCGACCCCUAAGGCGAGGCCGAAAGGCGUAGUCGAUGGGAAACGGGUUAAUAUUCCCGUACUUGGUGUUACUGCGAAGGGGGGACGGAGAAGGCUAUGUUGGCCGGGCGACGGUUGUCCCGGUUUAAGCGUGUAGGUGUGUGUUCCAGGUAAAUCCGGUUCACUUUAACACUGAGGCGUGAUGACGAGGCACUACGGUGCUGAAGCAACAAAUGCCCUGCUUCCAGGAAAAGCCUCUAAGCAUCAGGUAACAUCAAAUCGUACCCCAAACCGACACAGGUGGUCAGGUAGAGAAUACCAAGGCGCUUGAGAGAACUCGGGUGAAGGAACUAGGCAAAAUGGUGCCGUAACUUCGGGAGAAGGCACGCUGACACGUAGGUGAAGUGAUUUACUCAUGGAGCUGAAGUCAGUCGAAGAUACCAGCUGGCUGCAACUGUUUAUUAAAAACACAGCACUGUGCAAACACGAAAGUGGACGUAUACGGUGUGACGCCUGCCCGGUGCCGGAAGGUUAAUUGAUGGGGUCAGCGCAAGCGAAGCUCCUGAUCGAAGCCCCGGUAAACGGCGGCCGUAACUAUAACGGUCCUAAGGUAGCGAAAUUCCUUGUCGGGUAAGUUCCGACCUGCACGAAUGGCGUAAUGAUGGCCAGGCUGUCUCCACCCGAGACUCAGUGAAAUUGAACUCGCUGUGAAGAUGCAGUGUACCCGCGGCAAGACGGAAAGACCCCGUGAACCUUUACUAUAGCUUGACACUGAACAUUGAGCCUUGAUGUGUAGGAUAGGUGGGAGGCUUUGAAGCGUGGACGCCAGUCUGCGUGGAGCCGACCUUGAAAUACCACCCUUUAAUGUUUGAUGUUCUAACGUGGACCCGUAAUCCGGGUUGCGGACAGUGUCUGGUGGGUAGUUUGACUGGGGCGGUCUCCUCCUAAAGAGUAACGGAGGAGCACGAAGGUUGGCUAAUCCUGGUCGGACAUCAGGAGGUUAGUGCAAUGGCAUAAGCCAGCUUGACUGCGAGCGUGACGGCGCGAGCAGGUGCGAAAGCAGGUCAUAGUGAUCCGGUGGUUCUGAAUGGAAGGGCCAUCGCUCAACGGAUAAAAGGUACUCCGGGGAUAACAGGCUGAUACCGCCCAAGAGUUCAUAUCGACGGCGGUGUUUGGCACCUCGAUGUCGGCUCAUCACAUCCUGGGGCUGAAGUAGGUCCCAAGGGUAUGGCUGUUCGCCAUUUAAAGUGGUACGCGAGCUGGGUUUAGAACGUCGUGAGACAGUUCGGUCCCUAUCUGCCGUGGGCGCUGGAGAACUGAGGGGGGCUGCUCCUAGUACGAGAGGACCGGAGUGGACGCAUCACUGGUGUUCGGGUUGUCAUGCCAAUGGCACUGCCCGGUAGCUAAAUGCGGAAGAGAUAAGUGCUGAAAGCAUCUAAGCACGAAACUUGCCCCGAGAUGAGUUCUCCCUGAGACUUAGAGUCUCCUGAAGGAACGUUGAAGACGACGACGUUGAUAGGCCGGGUGUGUAAGCGCAGCGAUGCGUUGAGCUAACCGGUACUAAUGAACCGUGAGGCUUAACCUU